RNAcentral lists this ribosomal RNA (663 nucleotides) under uncultured cyanobacterium. RNAcentral describes it as "bacterial SSU rRNA". It matches the Rfam family "Bacterial small subunit ribosomal RNA", at positions 99 to 795 of the family's 1533-position model. Lineage: Bacteria; Bacillati; Cyanobacteriota. The record is from RNAcentral.
CGGACGGGUGAGUAACGCGUGAGAAUCUGGCUUCAGGUCUGGGACAACCACUGGAAACGGUGGCUAAUACCGGAUGUGCCGAGAGGUGAAAGGUUAACUGCCUGAAGAUGAGCUUGCGUCUGAUUAGCUAGUUGGAAGUGUAAUGGACUCCCAAGGCGACGAUCAGUAGCUGGUCUGAGAGGACGAUCAGCCACACUGGGACUGAGACACGGCCCAGACUCCUACGGGAGGCAGCAGUGGGGAAUUUUCCGCAAUGGGCGAAAGCCUGACGGAGCAAUACCGCGUGAGGGAGGAAGGCUCUUGGGUCGUAAACCUCUUUUCUCAGGGAAGAACAAAAUGACGGUACCUGAGGAAUAAGCAUCGGCUAACUCCGUGCCAGCAGCCGCGGUAAUACGGAGGAUGCAAGCGUUAUCCGGAAUGAUUGGGCGUAAAGCGUCCGCAGGUGGCUAUGUAAGUCUGCUGUUAAAGAGUCUAGCUCAACUAGAUAAGAGCAGUGGAAACUACAAGGCUAGAGUACGUUCGGGGCAGAGGGAAUUCCUGGUGUAGCGGUGAAAUGCGUAGAGAUCAGGAAGAACACCGGUGGCGAAGGCGCUCUGCUAGGCCGUAACUGACACUGAGGGACGAAAGCUAGGGGAGCGAAUGGGAUUAGAUACCCCAGUAGUC